This 363-nucleotide unclassified non-coding RNA is filed under the name Hevea brasiliensis (rubber tree). The record is from RNAcentral. Lineage: Eukaryota; Viridiplantae; Streptophyta; Magnoliopsida; Malpighiales; Euphorbiaceae.
AUCAUACUUCAGACACUUCCCCCUGGUAAGGCACGAUUCUUCUCUUCCCCUUAUCCCUCUCACUUUGUCCUCUCCUCUCUCCCUUCCCUACCACUCAGUUCUUCUUAAAGAUAAUAUACCACAGUAACACUCGCUCAAUCCUCGUCAUCUAUGGCCACCAACCUACGGCUCACUCCUCUGUCAUCAGUCAGCGCAAUUCCUCUCGCAACCUGUAGCCUACAAUUUGUCUAUUUCCCUUCUCCAGUCCACUAUUCGGUAGGUUAGUUUGCCUCUGAUUAAUUUGAAUUGUUAGAUGCAUAUUCAAUCAUUCAGUAAUUAGUUGUAUAGAUACAUGUUAUUUCUUUGCUUGGAUGGAUGUUAUUG